CUGGCUGUUAAAGAAACAGCUGCUUGACACAAUGCUACCAUUAAUAUUUUUGUGAAUCAAAUCCUGCAGUAUUUUAUUUUCAUGUCAUAUUGAAAGAAAGACUCUUUGAACACCUUAAGUGUUUAGUAUUCCUCCUAACAAAAGGAACACUACAGACCAACAGAGAUCAUAGAUCUCCCCACUUCUUCUCCACCAGCAAUAUAACGCUUAAGAGCUCUUCUAGAGGACUAUGAAAAGAUUUCCAGUUUCCACAUGCUUAACAUGCAUCCUGGAAGCAGUAAUAAGAUUUUGCCAGAAACCUUCAGCUGCAGGGAUACACACCACAGAGGGGUCUUAGUCCGAAACCUGCUGAUCAAUCAGACUUCCAACACAAAUGCUGCCCCCAGCUCACUACCACGGACACCAUCAAAGAUGUCCAGGUCUGGAGAGAAGCAGGCAGGGAUACAAUGCCUUCACCCUGUGCAGUAGGACACAGGGAGCUGAGGAAGCACCAUGCAGCUCCAAACCAGGUACGCUCAUUCUAGCUCCAAGCCACACCAACUGCACUGCUCCUGGUUUGCCAGCAGAGUUCAGUCACAUCUGUCUGUCUAAUACCAUGUAGAUACCUCCUAAAUAAGUGUGUGAAUGUUGCAUUUGAAAACACUGAUCUUUAAGAAAAUGAGGGGGGUAAACCUUAACUGCUAAAGACUUUGUAUUCUGGGGAAGCUUCUGAUCAGAAAGCCAGCAGAACUACCAGCAAUUCUUACCCAUCUGGUCAGUCAUCAGGCAAGGCACAGACCUGCCUGCUGCAUACUUUAAGCUACUGAAAAGAAAAUUAAUGAUCAUAUUGAUGUUACACAGACAUACAUACAACGUGCAGUUUAUAUAUGCCAAUAUUUAUUUAGAAUACAUAAAAUUCAGUAUCUCAACAUGCAUUUAAUAUCUUUAAUUAGCUACUGAUCACAGCACUUUACCAGCUAGAGGAUGUACAAUACUGUGUUUCUUUAGUUACUCAGAAGAGUACGGCAGUGGAGCAGCACUGGAAAUAUUGUAAGUAAGGCAAGCUGAAGGUAGACUGCAGCAUCCCGUAUUAUAGACAAUUAUAUAAAUCCCUUUCUCUGAGAAUCCCAAGAUAGCACUUUACAGUAAGCCAAAAAAUGUUACUACCACAUAUUUUUGCACUUGCCAGACAGAAAAUAUUUGGUUCUCCAUAAAAGUCUAUUUAGAUUU
Molecule: long non-coding RNA, 1209 nt
Organism: Neopsephotus bourkii (Bourke's parrot)
Lineage: Eukaryota; Metazoa; Chordata; Aves; Psittaciformes; Psittacidae
Exons: 2
Source: RefSeq, a predicted model, not a curated record